RNAcentral lists this long non-coding RNA (716 nucleotides) under Phoenix dactylifera (date palm). RNAcentral describes it as "long non-coding RNA (PDAC_LNC009349)". The record is from RNAcentral. Lineage: Eukaryota; Viridiplantae; Streptophyta; Magnoliopsida; Arecales; Arecaceae.
GGUCUUAAGGCUUAAACAGUUUCCCCCAAUUUGCAAAAUCACACCGAUUCAGUGCAAUUGAAGAAAUAUCCAAGCCUAAAUAAGAUGUGCUCUCUCUCCGAUCUCAUUCUCUCUAUUUUUUUCUCGAAAAAAUAGCUUGAAAUUUGCAAAAUAAGGAGAGAUCAUGCCAAAUUUUUUGAUUUAGGCUUGAUUUUAUGAUAUGUUGUAGAUUUAUAGAUGAUCUAUACGAUAACAUAAAAAUUUAAAAUUUUAAAUUAUAUAUAAUUUUAAAAAAUCUAAAAAUAUAUUUUCAAUAUAAAAAAUAUAAAAAAAAUAUAUAAAAUUAUAAGCAUAUUUAGGGGCAUGCAAGCUACUCUCCAGCAAAAUUUGGUGUCCAUUUAUUAAGAGGAAAGAGCAGCGAAGGAACGUGACGAGCAAAUUAUCGUCUCGAGAUGUUAGAAGGUGCAAAAUCAAUAGGUGCCGGAGCUGCUACAAUUGCUUCAACCGGAGCUGCUGUCGGUAUUGGAAACGUCCUCAGUUCCUCGAUUCAUUCCGUGGCGCGAAACCUUCCGCGCCCCACGCUGGAUUUACAGAUUGUACUUUUCCAGCCCUUACUCUCAGUCACUGAUUCAAGAACGAAUACCGCCUCAAACACUUCUCCAGCGGCUUCACUGGUCGCUGGUCUGCCAUUCUCAGUGUCUAGAACUCCCCAUGUGCAAAAUGGCCAUGGAGAGGUA